RNAcentral lists this unclassified non-coding RNA (264 nucleotides) under uncultured Pleosporales. RNAcentral describes it as "sequence contains 5.8S rRNA gene, ITS2, 28S rRNA gene". Lineage: Eukaryota; Fungi; Ascomycota; Dothideomycetes; Pleosporales. The record is from RNAcentral.
AACGCACAUUGCGCCCCUUGGUAUUCCAUGGGGCAUGCCUGUUCGAGCGUCAUUGACACCCUCAAGCUCUGCUUGGUGUUGGGCCGUUGUCGUUUUCUCGUCCCCCAGCGACACAGCGACACCCCUCAAAGUCAUUGGCGGCCUUUCUGCCCAGCUUCCCGCGCAGCAGUUCGCGCUUCGGAGACCACUUGGCAGGCUGGCAUCCAUCAAGCUGACCCUCUUACGCUUGACCUCGGAUCAGGUAGGGAUACCCGCUGAACUUAA